Long non-coding RNA from Bombyx mori (domestic silkworm), 372 nucleotides. RefSeq lists it as uncharacterized. The record is from RefSeq and is a predicted model, not a curated record. The transcript is spliced from 2 exons. NCBI's taxonomy places the organism in Eukaryota, Metazoa, Arthropoda, Insecta, Lepidoptera, Bombycidae.
GCUUUUAUGUUACUGAUUUUAAGUUACCAAAAUUUUUACAAUAAUUUAAGAAUUGAGCAGUAAGAAUAUGUUUUAUAAUUGGCCACGCCAAUAUCUAACUUACUUAUGGUAUGUCACGUACUUAUCGGCCAUUAGUGAGAUGAUACGUGAGUUAGUUUGGUCCGCAUCGUGUUUUUGUCCGACAGAAAAAAAAGUUUUUACUGAUUUUAAGUAUUCCUGCUGAUCGUUGCCUUGUCCUGGUGUGCAAGCGGAGAGUUCUUGAAGCCGUCUUGUCCGUGCGGCCGAGUGUACCAACCUGUCUGCACUUCCUUGGGUAUUACGUACAAUAAUUUCUGCGAGUUUGAAUGCGGCGUAAAGUUCAUGAAGGAAAAA